GCUCCUGUAGCGCAAUUGGUAGACGCGAUCGCCUUAAAAGCGGUAGUACUGCGAGUUCAAGUCUCGCCGGGAGCA
This 75-nucleotide transfer RNA is filed under the name Symploca sp. SIO2E6. RNAcentral describes it as "tRNA-Leu". It matches the Rfam family "tRNA". From Rfam's summary of the family: Transfer RNA (tRNA) molecules are approximately 80 nucleotides in length. Their secondary structure includes four short double-helical elements and three loops (D, anti-codon, and T loops). Lineage: Bacteria; Bacillati; Cyanobacteriota; Cyanophyceae; Coleofasciculales; Coleofasciculaceae. The record is from RNAcentral.